Camelus dromedarius (Arabian camel) is the source of this 1864-nucleotide long non-coding RNA. RefSeq lists it as uncharacterized. Lineage: Eukaryota; Metazoa; Chordata; Mammalia; Artiodactyla; Camelidae. The record is from RefSeq and is a predicted model, not a curated record. The transcript is spliced from 3 exons.
UUGAAGUAGAUACAUUUUGAGCCAACCAGCCACGGACUCCCACCCCCUGAGUUCUGCCCCAAAUCUCGAGGCUCCGUGGACAACCCAGUUAAGCAGCGCUUCUCAAAAAGUGACACCUUGGCCCGACUCCGUGUCUGGGUGUGUCCCCGUUACAACAGCACGCCCGCACCGCGCUCUGGCACUGGUCCGCAAGCGCCGAGCGGGGCCGGCAGACGGCUACCGUCUUCCUUUGGCAGAAGAGGAGAUGAAUGCCUUGCUGGAGGUGGUGUCGCCACCCAGCAGCAGGCCUGGGGGACGGGGUGCCCGGUCUCCUGGGUCUUUGUACCAAGCCUCGUGGAUCCCUGCAGCUCCAAACAGACCAGGGCGGCUCCAGGUGACUGGCCGAGACAGCCUGGGACCCCCGACAUCAGCCUCCAGAAGCUUCUCCUCCUUCUGUACUGAGUACCUGGAUCCUUCUCCUCCCUGGAAAUCCUGAGGCCACUGGAAGGAACAGAAGACUCGAGAAGGUGUUUGGGCGACCGUGUGAGAUUCCUCCAUGGAUUGCCCCCAUAGCACUGAGGACAUGUCCCAUCAAAGACACUAAGACUGGAAUCAUCUUGUUCUGGGGAGUGAUGUCACCGUUUCUUUCGGCAGGUGGGACCGGGAUGCUCGUCAGAGCCCCCAAGGUGACCACGGGAUUGGCUCUCUGCUCCCAGCACUGAGGGAGCCACGUCCGUGGCAUCUGGAUGCUCCGUCUGCUCUCACAGGCUUGUUCCCGGGUCUGCACCUGCAGGCGUCAGCCAGCCCCAACGGCGGACGCUGCGGGAGGAUGAGCCCGAAGUGGCCGAGGCCGCAGGGCGCUGCAGUCAGAGCGUGAGCCUCGUCCUGCAGUGUGAAGGGGGCUCUCCAGCUGCACUGCCCGGGGCCAGUCCCGCCUCUUGGGUUGUUUCAAGGGGUGGAAAUACAUGUGCAAGCCUCACAGAGUGUUAGAGCUGGACGGGGGACAGCAGUGGGAGCUGUCAUUUACUAAGCACCUACUGCAUACCAGGCACACGGAGAUGAUUUCUGACGCUCACCAAGGCCCGAGCAGGCACCCUUAUCACCAGGUCACCGGGAGGCCAAGGGGCUGUGGGAGGCGGAGAGUGUGGUCGGGGGCACAGACUUGCAUUCAGUCGCAGCUCUGCCACUUGCCAGCGGCAGGACAGCAGGCAACUCCCUUAAACUCUCUGCGUCUCAGCUUCCUCAUUUGUACGACGGGGAAGUUACGAUGGUAGCCACCCUCUAGGGUGGUAGCGGGUUCUGUCCAAGCAGGUGCUCACAGCAGGACCUGGCACCCGGGAGGGGCUGCGAGAAUGUCAGCUCUCCACGUGGGGGAUGAGUGAUUUGGGCCCAGGUCUUGGGGCAGCAAUCACCUCCAGGUCAGAGAUCCCGGGCUGUCCGGCCUCAAAGCCCAGGCUCUUCAUCUGACAAAAGAGGAAGUCUGCACAGCGGGAGGGGUGUCAGGACAAAGGACUGGUCGAGCUUCUGUGACCGCCCCAGGGCCAGCAGCCCUUUUGGAUGAGCCCAGUGUAGUGUCCGCCCCAUGAAACACUGCCUUUGGAAUGAAAGUCACCUCUCACAAGUGAGCUCCUUUGACCUCUGGGUUCUCUGAUGUGACGGCUGGCGGCCAGGGUGGAAGGCAGGAGCCACUGCCUCUUAACUGCUUCUGCCCCAGACUGUACCCUCCAGCCCUGACUCUCUUCAGACCGUAGAGCGCUUCCCAACAACCGGGUGUGGAUGGGGGAGAACCACGACCAGGGACCAGCGUGCAGGAGAUCUGCAUGGAUUUCUAACCACCCUUUGCUACCAACCUUUCCAUUUUAUUUGAAAUAAAUAUUCAAGAUUA